GAUAACAUAAGGGAAAAUAAUGAUAUUACCUUAUUAUUAGUGUCGUCCAAAACUGGUGCCAGAAGACUCGGUAAGGCCAGAGACACAAACGUUAAUCGUCUUAAUCAGGCGUAAAGGGUUUGUAGGCGGCUUUAAAAUUUACUUAUAAUAAAAAAACAAAACAAAAAUAAUAAGUAAAAAAUAAAAGCUAGAAUCAAAUAGAGGAUAUAUGAAAGAAUGCUUAGAGUAGGUCUGAUAUCCUUAGAUACUAAGUAGAAUAUUAAAGGCGAAAGCUUUUUUCCAUUAAUGAUUGACGCUCAGAAACGAAGGUGAGGAUAGGAAAUAGGAUUAGAUACCCAGAUACCCCUCUCUGUCAACGAUGAAUGGUAGUUAUUAGUAAAAAUUUUAUUAAUGGCAAUGUUAACACGAUAACCAUUCCGCCUUGUGAGUACAAUUGCAAAGUUGAAAACAAAAAAAUUAGUCGGUUUCGGAGCAAACGAAGUGAAGCAUGUUAUUUAA
This 498-nucleotide ribosomal RNA is filed under the name Russula blumiana. RNAcentral's name for it is "partial 12S ribosomal RNA". It matches the Rfam family "Bacterial small subunit ribosomal RNA", at positions 444 to 949 of the family's 1533-position model. Lineage: Eukaryota; Fungi; Basidiomycota; Agaricomycetes; Russulales; Russulaceae. The record is from RNAcentral.